This 1047-nucleotide ribosomal RNA is filed under the name uncultured archaeon. Its description in RNAcentral is "bacterial SSU rRNA". It matches the Rfam family "Archaeal small subunit ribosomal RNA", at positions 1 to 1054 of the family's 1478-position model. The record is from RNAcentral.
UCCGUUUGAUCCUGGCGGAGGUUACUGCUAUCGAGGUUCGACUAAGCCAUGCGAGUCGAAUGUAGCAAUACAUGGCGUACUGCUCAGUAACACGUGGACAACCUACCCUUAGGCCUGGGAUAACCCCGGGAAACUGGGAAUAAUACCGGAUAUCUCGCGAAUGCUGGAAUGCGUCGCGAUAUAAAGCUCCGGCGCCUAAGGAUGGGUCUGCGGCCUAUCAGGGUAGUAGUGGGUGUAAUGUACCUACUAGCCUACGACGGGUACGGGUUGUGAGAGCAAGAGCCCGGAGAUGGAUUCUGAGACACGAAUCCAGGCCCUACGGGGUGCAGCAGGCGCGAAAACUUUACAAUGCCGGCAACGGCGAUAAGGGGACCUCGAGUGCCAGGAUACAAUCCUGGCUGUCGUAAUGCCUAAAAAGCAUUGCAUAGCAAGGGCCGGGCAAGACCGGUGCCAGCCGCCGCGGUAACACCGGCGGCUCGAGUGGUAACCGCUAUUAUUGGGUCUAAGGGGUCUGUAGCCGGCUGACUAAGUCUCUUGGGAAAUCUGGCAGCUUAACUGUCAGGCUUUCAGGAGAUACUGAUCGGCUCGAGACCGGGAGAGGUGAGAGGUACCUCAGGGGUAGGGGUGAAAUCUUGUAAUCCUUGAGGGACCACCAGUGGCGAAGGCGUCUCACCAGAACGGAUCUGACGGCAAGGGACGAAAGCUAGGGGCACGAACCGGAUUAGAUACCCGGGUAGUCCUAGCCGUAAACGAUACUCGCUAGGUGUCGGCCACGGUGCGACCGUGGUCGGUGCCGUAGGGAAGCCGUGAAGCGAGCCACCUGGGAAGUACGGCCGCAAGGCUGAAACUUAAAGGAAUUGGCGGGGGAGCACUACAACGGGUGGAGCUUGCGGUUUAAUUGGAUUCAACGCCGGAAAUCUCACCGGGACCGACAGCGAUAUGAAGGCCAGGCUGAAGACCUUGCCGGAUUAGCUGAGAGGUGGUGCAUGGCCGUCGUCAGUUCGUACUGUGAAGCAUCCUGUUAAGUCAGGCAACGAGCGAGACCCA